RNAcentral lists this ribosomal RNA (253 nucleotides) under uncultured bacterium. Its description in RNAcentral is "partial 16S ribosomal RNA". It matches the Rfam family "Bacterial small subunit ribosomal RNA", at positions 524 to 775 of the family's 1533-position model. The record is from RNAcentral.
UACGAAGGGGGCUAGCGUUGCUCGGAAUCACUGGGCGUAAAGGGCGCGUAGGCGGCCGAUUAAGUCGGGGGUGAAAGCCUGUGGCUCAACCACAGAAUUGCCUUCGAUACUGGUUGGCUUGAGACCGGAAGAGGACAGCGGAACUGCGAGUGUAGAGGUGAAAAUUCGUAGAUAUUCGCAAGAACACCAGUGGCGAAGGCGGCUGUCUGGUCCGGUUCUGACGCUGAGGCGCGAAAGCGUGGGGAGCAAACAG